This 347-nucleotide ribosomal RNA is filed under the name uncultured bacterium. Its description in RNAcentral is "partial 16S ribosomal RNA". It matches the Rfam family "Bacterial small subunit ribosomal RNA", at positions 338 to 682 of the family's 1533-position model. The record is from RNAcentral.
CCUACGGGAGGCAGCAGGGAGGAAUAUUGGUCAAUGGACGAGAGUCUGAACCAGCCAAGUAGCGUGAAGGAUGACUGCCCUAUGGGUUGUAAACUUCUUGUAUAGGGGAAUAAAACAGGGUAGGCAUACCCUCUUGUAUGUACCAUAUGAAUAAGGAGCGGCUAACUCCGUGCCAGCAGCCGCGGUAAUACGGAGGAUCCGAGCGUUAUCCGGAUUUAUGGGGGUUAAAGGGAGCGUAGGGGGAUUGUUAAGUCAGUUGUGAAAGUUUGCGGCUCAACCGUAAAAUUGCAGUUGAAACUGGCAGUCUUGCGUCCAGUAGAGGUGGGCGUAAUUCGUGGUGUAGCGGU